UAUUCGAUCAAUUAACGAUUUUCUCCUAUCCACAUGUCUCUGAGUGAAGUAGCCAAAGUUUUAUUUAUGACCAUCAGAUGAUUCUUCCUCUUAGAUAACAUAUUAAAAAUAUGCAUAAUAUCGUAUGCACAUGGUAAGAUAGUUGUUAUACAAAUAAGUUUUAUAUUAACAAGAUAAGUUCAUAUGCUAACUUAUUCAAUAUUCUAUAAAUUUCAAUUUAUCGAAUAUUGCGGUUCCGAAAAACCUUCGUCUUGCUCCAUACUCUUAGCAGAUCUUGCAACAGUCUUCAAACAGCUACCGAACCGCAACGGAGAAAGACUAAGACACCAUGAGACUUUCGACCUCCACGACCCUCAAUCAACACUUUUCCACUCCCAACACCACCGGAAAAGAGAUCGGAGCUACAGUAACGGUGUAUAAGGCUCUGGUGGGAAUUUGUGAGAGAAGCUAAGUUGUUGAGAGUCGGAAGUUUGAAGCUUUUCAAGACAUGUUUCAGCUCCAAAAGGAUGGGAAG
Molecule: long non-coding RNA, 514 nt
Filed under: Capsella rubella
Lineage: Eukaryota; Viridiplantae; Streptophyta; Magnoliopsida; Brassicales; Brassicaceae
Description: long non-coding RNA (CRUB_LNC002436)
Source: RNAcentral